Molecule: ribosomal RNA, 460 nt
Filed under: uncultured bacterium
Lineage: Bacteria
Description: partial 16S ribosomal RNA
Rfam family: Bacterial small subunit ribosomal RNA
Source: RNAcentral
CCUACGGGUGGCAGCAGUGAGGAAUAUUGGUCAAUGGUCGCGAGCCUGAACCAGCCAAGCCGCGUGAGGGAUGAAGGCCCUGCGUGUUGUAAACUUCUUUUGUAAGGGAAUAAAGUGCGGCACGUGUCCCUUUUUGUGUGUAUUUUAUGAAUAAGGAUCGGCUAACUCCGUGCCAGCAGCCGCGGUAAUCCGGAGGAUCCGAGCGUUAUCCGGAUUUAUUGGGUUUAAAGGGAGCGUAGAUGGGUGGUUAAGUCAGUUGUGAAAGCUUGCGGCUCAACCGUGCAAUUGCAGUUGAUACUGGCAGGCUGGAGUGCAGGUGAGGUAGGCGGAAUUCGUGGUGUAGCGGUGAAAUGCGUAGAUAUCACGAAGAACUCCGAUUGCGAAGGCAGCAUACUAAACUGAAACUGACGUUGAUGCUCGAAAGCGUGGGUAUCAAACAGGAUUAGAUACCCGGGUAGUC